AACGAACGCUGGCGGCAGGCUUAACACGUGCAAGUCGAACGCAUCCUUCGGGGUGAGUGGCAGACGGGUGAGUAACGCGUGGGAACGUGCCCUUCAGUUCGGGAUAACCCAGGGAAACUUGGGCUAAUACCGGAUACGUGCGAGAGCAGAAAGAUUUAUCGCUGAAGGAUCGGCCCGCGUCUGAUUAGCUGAGUUGGUGGGGUAAUGGCCCACCAAGGCGACGAUCAGUAGCUGGUCUGAGAGGAUGAUCAGCCACAUUGGGACUGAGACACGGCCCAACCUCCAAGGGGGGGCAGGUGGGGGGAAGUUUGGACAGGGGGCGAAAGCUGGAUCCAGCCAUGCCGGGGGGGUGAUAAGGGCCUUGGGGUUGUAAAGCUUUUUCGCCGGGGACGAUAAUGACGGUACGGGAAGAGGAACCCCCGGCUAACUUCGGGCCAGCCGCCGCAGUAA
RNAcentral lists this ribosomal RNA (450 nucleotides) under uncultured bacterium. RNAcentral's name for it is "partial 16S ribosomal RNA". It matches the Rfam family "Bacterial small subunit ribosomal RNA", at positions 29 to 523 of the family's 1533-position model. The record is from RNAcentral.